GCGGAUGUGGCGGAAUUGGCAGACGCGCUAGAUUCAGGUUCUAGUGCCGCAAGGCGUGAAGGUUCAAGUCCUUUCAUCCGCA
RNAcentral lists this transfer RNA (82 nucleotides) under Leptolyngbyaceae cyanobacterium HOT.MB2.61. RNAcentral describes it as "tRNA-Leu". It matches the Rfam family "tRNA". Rfam says of the family: Transfer RNA (tRNA) molecules are approximately 80 nucleotides in length. Their secondary structure includes four short double-helical elements and three loops (D, anti-codon, and T loops). The record is from RNAcentral. Lineage: Bacteria; Bacillati; Cyanobacteriota; Cyanophyceae; Leptolyngbyales; Leptolyngbyaceae.